Molecule: ribosomal RNA, 253 nt
Filed under: uncultured bacterium
Lineage: Bacteria
Description: partial 16S ribosomal RNA
Rfam family: Bacterial small subunit ribosomal RNA
Source: RNAcentral
GACGAACCGUACGAACGUUAUUCGGAAUCACUGGGCUUAAAGGGUGCGUAGGCGGCGCGACAAGUUGGGUGUGAAAUCCCUCGGCUCAACCGAGGAACUGCGCCCAAAACUGUCGUGCUCGAGGGAGACAGAGGUGAGCGGAACUUAGGGUGGAGCGGUGAAAUGCGUUGAUAUCCUAAGGAACACCGGUGGCGAAAGCGGCUCACUGGGUCUCUUCUGACGCUGAGGCACGAAAGCGAGGGUAGCGAACGGG